UUUAAUGAGAGUUUGAUCCUGGCUCAGGACGAACGCUGGCGGCGUGCCUAAUACAUGCAAGUAGAACGCUGAGGUUUGGUGUUUACACUAGACUGAUGAGUUGCGAACGGGUGAGUAACGCGUAGGUAACCUGCCUCAUAGCGGGGGAUAACUAUUGGAAACGAUAGCUAAUACCGCAUAAGAGUAAUUAACACAUGUUAGU
RNAcentral lists this ribosomal RNA (202 nucleotides) under Streptococcus agalactiae. Its description in RNAcentral is "partial 16S ribosomal RNA". It matches the Rfam family "Bacterial small subunit ribosomal RNA", at positions 1 to 197 of the family's 1533-position model. Lineage: Bacteria; Bacillati; Bacillota; Bacilli; Lactobacillales; Streptococcaceae. RNAcentral also lists the same sequence under 1 other name. The record is from RNAcentral.